AUACGGAGGAUGCGAGCGUUAUCCGGAUUUAUUGGGUUUAAAGGGUGCGUAGGCGGACGAUUAAGUCAGCUGUGAAAUGCCCGCGCUUAACGCGGGAAGUGCAGUUGAUACUGGUUGUCUGGAGUGCCGUUGCCGUGGGGGGAAUGUGUAGUGUAGCGGUGAAAUGCAUAGAUAUUACACAGAACGCCGAUUGUGAAGACACCUCACGAAGCGGUAACUGACGCUGAGGCACGAAAGCGUGGGGAUCGAACAGGAUUAGAUACCCUGGUAGUCCACGCAGUAAACGAUGAUAACUAACCGUCGGCGAUACACAGUCGGUGGCCAAGCGAAAGCGAUAAGUUAUCCACCUGGGGAGUACGUUCGCAAGAAUGAAACUCAAAUGAAUUGACGGGG
RNAcentral lists this ribosomal RNA (393 nucleotides) under uncultured bacterium. Its description in RNAcentral is "partial 16S ribosomal RNA". It matches the Rfam family "Bacterial small subunit ribosomal RNA", at positions 523 to 918 of the family's 1533-position model. The record is from RNAcentral.